AACGAACGCUGGCGGCGUGCCUAACACAUGCAAGUCGUACGAGAAAUCCUGGGCAACUGGGAGAGUAAAGUGGCGCACGGGUGAGUAACGCGUGGGUAACCUACCCUUGAAUUGGGGAUAACUCCUCGAAAGGGGAGUUAAUACCGAAUAAUAUUCCAGUUCCCAUGGGAGUUGGAAUCAAAGGUGGCCUCUGCAUGCAAGCUAUCGUUUAAGGAUGGGCCCGCGUGCCAUUAGCUAGUUGGUAGGGUAAUGGCCUACCAAGGCGACGAUGGGUAGCCGGCCUGAGAGGGUGGUCGGCCACACUGGAACUGAGACACGGUCCAGACUCCUACGGGAGGCAG
Molecule: ribosomal RNA, 341 nt
Filed under: uncultured Pseudomonadota bacterium
Lineage: Bacteria; Pseudomonadati; Pseudomonadota
Description: bacterial SSU rRNA
Rfam family: Bacterial small subunit ribosomal RNA
Source: RNAcentral